RNAcentral lists this non-coding RNA (148 nucleotides) under Pan paniscus (pygmy chimpanzee). Lineage: Eukaryota; Metazoa; Chordata; Mammalia; Primates; Hominidae. The record is from Rfam by way of RNAcentral. RNAcentral also lists the same sequence under 1 other name.
GCUGGGCAUGGUGGCGUGUGCCUGUAAUCCCAGCUACUCGGGAGGCUGAGGUAGGAGAAUCGCUUGAGCCCGGGAGGCGGAGGUUGCAGUGAGUUGAGAUCGCACCACUGCACUCCAUCCUGGGCAACAGAGCAAGAUGCCAUCUCAA